RNAcentral lists this ribosomal RNA (404 nucleotides) under Hapithus sp. Mex. Its description in RNAcentral is "eukaryotic LSU rRNA". It matches the Rfam family "Eukaryotic large subunit ribosomal RNA", at positions 1521 to 1885 of the family's 3401-position model. Lineage: Eukaryota; Metazoa; Arthropoda; Insecta; Orthoptera; Gryllidae. The record is from RNAcentral.
CCGUUGCACACGAGUCAGUCGAUCCUAAGCCCUAGGAGAAAUCCGAUGCAUGCGGGCCGCUGGCCCCGAGGGGCGAAAGGGAAUCCGGUCCCUAUUCCGGAACCCGGUCGCGGAACCGUCUCACGUCGGGCCCCCGGCUUCGGCCGGUAGCUCGUCGGGGUAACCCAAAAAGACCCGGAGAAGCCGUCGGGAGGUCGGGGAAGAGUUGUCUUUUCUGUUUGAGCGUUCGGGUUCCCUGGAAUUGCCUAGCGCAGAGAGAGGGAAUGGAGCGCGUAGAGCACCGCAGUUGCGGCGGUGUCCCGACAUGCCCUUCGGACCUUGAAAAUCCGGGGACGGGCCACGUGGAGGUAUCGCGCCGGAUCGUACCCAUAUCCGCAGCAGGUCUCCAAGGUGAAGAGCCUCUA